GAGUAACACGUAUCCAACCUGCCGAUGACUCGGGGAUAGCCUUUCGAAAGAAAGAUUAAUACCCGAUGGCAUAGUUCUUCCGCAUGGUGGAACUAUUAAAGAAUUUCGGUCAUCGAUGGGGAUGCGUUCCAUUAGGUUGUUGGCGGGGUAACGGCCCACCAAGCCUUCGAUGGAUAGGGGUUCUGAGAGGAAGGUCCCCCCACAUUGGAACUGAGACACGGUCCAAACUCCUACGGGAGGCAGCAUG
Molecule: ribosomal RNA, 247 nt
Filed under: uncultured bacterium
Lineage: Bacteria
Description: partial 16S ribosomal RNA
Rfam family: Bacterial small subunit ribosomal RNA
Source: RNAcentral